This 523-nucleotide ribosomal RNA is filed under the name uncultured bacterium. RNAcentral describes it as "partial 16S ribosomal RNA". It matches the Rfam family "Bacterial small subunit ribosomal RNA", at positions 28 to 523 of the family's 1533-position model. The record is from RNAcentral.
GACGAACGCUGGCGGCGUGCCUAAUACAUGCAAGUCGAACGCUUUUUCUUUCACCGGAGCUUGCUCCAUCGAAAGAAAAAGAGUGGCGAACGGGUGAGUAACACGUGGGUAACCUGCCCAUCAGAAGGGGAUAACACUUGGAAACAGGUGCUAAUACCGUAUAACACUAUUUUCCGCAUGGAAGAAAGUUGAAAGGCGCUUUUGCGUCACUGAUGGAUGGACCCGCGGUGCAUUAGCUAGUUGGUGAGGUAACGGCUCACCAAGGCAACGAUGCACGUCGGACCGGGGAGGGUGAUCGGCCACACUGGGACUGAGACACGGCCCAGACUCCUACGGGAGGCAGCAGUAGGGAAUCUUCGGCAAUGGACGAAAGUCUGACCGAGCAACGCCGCGUGAGUGAAGAGGGUUUUCGGAUCGUAAAACUCUGUUGUUAGAGAAGAACAAGGAUGAGAGUAAAAUGUUCAUCCCUUGACGGUAUCUAACCAGAAAGCCACGGCUAACUACGUGCCAGCCGCCGCAGUAA